GUUUCUGCAAAGAAAUACCAAAAGUCAUGAACAUGUUAAUUUUAAAAAAGGUACAUAUUGCUGGCAUUACAAACCUCUUUGCAAAAAAUUAAUAAUAAUUUAUAAAAAUUUAUGAAUUUAACAAAAACACAAAAAAAAAAAAAUAAAAUAAAGGAAAUGGGAUAAGAGGUCGAAUUACAGAUGCCACAUGAAAAGAAAUAGUGGAAGAAAAACCAAAGAUAUAUGAGAUGAGAAAUGAAGAUUUUGAAACCGAAGCUAUUUUCAAAUAAUCUUUUUUAAUCAAUGCAUUAUAAAUGAAAUAUCAAUAUAUUAUGCCUGUAAUUUUUUAUCCUUUUAGAUGUUUUUCUUACUGGAAUAAAAUAUUAUUAAUUAGG
This is a long non-coding RNA of Caenorhabditis elegans, 374 nucleotides long. Ensembl annotates it as ncRNA. Its record names the gene linc-148. The record is from Ensembl. Lineage: Eukaryota; Metazoa; Nematoda; Chromadorea; Rhabditida; Rhabditidae.